RNAcentral lists this ribosomal RNA (473 nucleotides) under uncultured bacterium. RNAcentral's name for it is "bacterial SSU rRNA". It matches the Rfam family "Bacterial small subunit ribosomal RNA", at positions 34 to 507 of the family's 1533-position model. The record is from RNAcentral.
CGCUGGCGGCGUGCCUAACACAUGCAAGUCAACUUGACUGAAGGAGCAAUCUGACAGUGGAGUGGCGCAAGGGUGCGUAACGCGUAAGUAACUUGCCCAAGGUAAGGAAUAACGUCGAGAAAUCGGCGCUAAUACCUCAUAAUGCAGCGGAUCCGCAUGGAUAUGUUGUUAAAGGUUUACCGCCUUGGGAUAGGCUUGCGUCUGAUUAGCUAGUUGGUGUGGUAACGGCACACCAAGGCUACGAUCAGUAACUGGUCUGAGAGGAUGAUCAGUCACACUGGAACUGAGACACGGUCCAGACUCCUACGGGAGGCAGCAGUGAGGAAUAUUGGGCAAUGCUCGAAAGAGUGACCCAGCAACGCCGCGUGGAGGAUGAAGGUAUUCUAUAUCGUAAACUCCUGUGAGAGCAGACGAAAGACAGAUUAUUAAUCUGGAUGACUGUAUGCUCAGAGGAAGCCCCGGCUAACUACGUG